CGAAAUUGUGGGAACCUCAAAUCUGUCAAAUAUUGUAAAACAAAAUGAGAUAAGCAGAUGCAAGCAUUUUACUUCAUGCUGUCAGUUUUGAAAAUAAAAUAACCUAUUUCUGAUUUUUAUUAUUAUUAUUAUUUUUAAAUUUUCUUGCCAUAUCAUAUGAAUUGCACUAUCAGGGUCCGAACCAUUUGAAAGGAGACAAUAACUAAAAUGGCAUUUACAAGUGCAACUAAGGUGACAAUUUAUCGUGCUGGCAAGAAUUAAAAUGCGUUCACUAUGCAGAAGACAACCUAAUAAUGUCCUGUAUUUAAUCCUAUGUAAGGAUGAUAAUGCCAGAGGAAAAGCAGAAAUCUGAAUCUGGUUGCAACCAUCAGGCAGAGAUGUUCGACAAGUUUCCUAGGAAAUGCUAUUCACUUGUGUCCUGUAACACUGGUGAUGAUGGGAAUUCUCCAGGUUCUCUAAUAUCUGAUAUCCAACUGUGUAAAAUUGUUCUUAGACUUGAAACCUGCUAGAACUUAGAUUCUG
This 522-nucleotide long non-coding RNA is filed under the name Olea europaea (common olive). Its description in RNAcentral is "long non-coding RNA (OEUR_LNC008734)". Lineage: Eukaryota; Viridiplantae; Streptophyta; Magnoliopsida; Lamiales; Oleaceae. The record is from RNAcentral.